UACGUAGGGUGCAAGCGUUGUCUGGAAUUAUUGGGCGUAAAGAGCUCGUAGGCGGUUUGUCGCGUCUGGUGUGAAAAUCCAGGGCUUAACCCUGGACCUGCAUCGGGUACGGGCAGACUGGAGUACUGCAGGGGAGACUGGAAUUCCUGGUGUAGCGGUGGAAUGCGCAGAUAUCAGGAGGAACACCGGUGGCGAAGGCGGGUCUCUGGGCAGUAACUGACGCUGAGGAGCGAAAGCGUGGGGAGCGAACAGG
Molecule: ribosomal RNA, 253 nt
Filed under: uncultured bacterium
Lineage: Bacteria
Description: partial 16S ribosomal RNA
Rfam family: Bacterial small subunit ribosomal RNA
Source: RNAcentral